This 605-nucleotide long non-coding RNA is filed under the name Monodelphis domestica (gray short-tailed opossum). Its description in RNAcentral is "lncRNA (ENSMODG00000043925.1)". The record is from RNAcentral. Lineage: Eukaryota; Metazoa; Chordata; Mammalia; Didelphimorphia; Didelphidae.
CUGAGGGACACCUGAAGUUAGAGGGCAUAAUCUGGGUAGGGGAAGUCCAGAAAAAAGAGACAAGAAGUGAUAGGUAGGAGGAGAUGCAGGGAGAGAGAGUAGGGUUUCAAAUACCAAGCGAGAAGAGAAUGUCAUAGAGGAGACGAUAAUUAAAUGUCAAAGGCUGCAGCAAGGUCAAGGAGGAUGAAGAAGUGAGGAGCUACCUUGGGGGGUAGAUGCUGUUAUGCCCACUUUACAGAUGAGGAGACCAAGAUCAAUAAAAGCUUCCCAGAGGGAUUUUUCCUUGGGCAAUCUGCACACUAAAACGGAAGAAUCUCACUUGGGGGAUGGCUCUGGCGAUCUCCAGGGGCAGUGGUGGUUAUCUGCCUUUCUAAGUGAAUCUUCUGCCCAGGCACUACAGCCUGGAUAAAAAUGACUGCCUACACAGAACCCGGGGGACAACUAAGGCCCCACUCCAGCACAGUAGGGCGUUUUAAAAGUCUACUGACAAGAUCAAGGAUGGAGCCGUUGUUAGCGUAAGAAUUCACUUGACUAGCCUUAUGUUUCCACCUUACAUAUGUGCACUGCCUGUGGACAUUGCUACAUAUUGUUAAAAAUAAACAGAG